UUCAUCUUUUGCAAAAUCAAUCGAUCAAAGGGUUCAUUCCAUUUUUUUAUACAAUGAAAUCACGGCCGAGAAAAGAACAGAAGAUUCUUUCUGACUCUCUCUCUCUCCUCUCUGCCGUGUUUCUUUGUAUAAAGAGAUGUACUGGACCCGUUCAAUCCUUUUGAUUUGACAGAUUGGA
RNAcentral lists this microRNA precursor (178 nucleotides) under Prunus persica (peach). RNAcentral's name for it is "miR7122a stem-loop (ppe-MIR7122a)". The stretch from base 30 to 149 matches the Rfam family "MIR1509 microRNA precursor family". Lineage: Eukaryota; Viridiplantae; Streptophyta; Magnoliopsida; Rosales; Rosaceae. The record is from miRBase by way of RNAcentral.